GAUGAAGAACGUAGCGAAAUGCGAUAAGUAAUGUGAAUUGCAUAAUUCAGUGAAUCAUCGAAUCUUUGAACGCACAUUGCGCCCAUUAGUAUUCUAGUGGGCAUGCCUGUUCGAGCGUCAUUAAGUCCACUUAAGCCCUGCUUAGUGUUGGGAGACUGCUCCAGCGGUGCUACCCUGUAGCUACCCUGCAGCUCCUCAAAGACAGCGGCGGAGUUGUGGUAUCCUCUGAGCUUAGUAACUUGUUCUAGCUUUCGAGUACACCACUUCCCCUGCCGUAAAACCCUUAAUUUUUAAUGGUUGACCUCGGAUCAGGUAGGAAUACCCGCUGAACUUAAGCAUAUCAAUAAGCGGAGGA
Molecule: unclassified non-coding RNA, 355 nt
Filed under: soil metagenome
Description: partial contains 5.8S ribosomal RNA, internal transcribed spacer 2, and large subunit ribosomal RNA
Rfam family: 5.8S ribosomal RNA (bases 1-120)
Source: RNAcentral